CCAGGGGGAUUCUGUUUGCUUGUUGGUGUGAACCUAAAAUGCCUGCUUUCUUAAUUAAGCCUUAACUCUGGGUUUUGCCUCAAGCUUUUUGUCCCUCCCUUCCCCCUUUUAAUAGGUCUCAGUCUUCCUUCAUCACUGUGGCCCCAGGCUUUGCCUGUUUGCAUUCUCUCUUCUAAGAAGCAUCUGUUCCCGUCCCAGCACCCAGCAGACCUUGCUUGUGGCGCUUCAACCCCCAGCUGCUUUUAAUUUCAUAAUUACCACUACGAGAGCAACGUGCUCCUUGUGGUUCCCAGCCAAGAGUGUGGCCUUCCCUCCCUAGAGGAUCGGGCUCCUGCUGCCUGCCCCCACACACUCUCACUGGGCAGCUUUCUGGCCAGCAGGCAAUGUGUUGGGGUGCUCCCCACCUGGCAGUCAACUAGCCCCCACCCCACCCCUAUGAUCGCCUUGUGCUUUUGGCCUUACAGCUCCAGCAACUGGCAAAGCCUGCAAAUAAAUAGCAGACACACUUCCUGAACGAAUGAAUGCACAGUGCAUGAAGGAAUGAAGGAAGGAGUAGGCAUCUGGUCUGCAGGUGUGUUGAAGUCAUUCACGUGUCUGCAGGAACAGAUGAAUGGUUCACCUUGAGAGGUCUAUAUAUGUUCCAGAUGCCACCAGGAUGCUGGCCAGGCUUCCCUGGAUUGAAGACCCCACCAAUGUGUCCUGGAGCUCAGCUUCCCCAGAGACACACCUUACUAGGGAA
Molecule: long non-coding RNA, 739 nt
Organism: Erinaceus europaeus (western European hedgehog)
Lineage: Eukaryota; Metazoa; Chordata; Mammalia; Eulipotyphla; Erinaceidae
Exons: 3
Source: RefSeq, a predicted model, not a curated record